RNAcentral lists this long non-coding RNA (586 nucleotides) under Rattus norvegicus (Norway rat). RNAcentral's name for it is "long non-coding RNA NONRATT012481". Lineage: Eukaryota; Metazoa; Chordata; Mammalia; Rodentia; Muridae. The record is from RNAcentral.
AACUUGCGCCAUCCAAAUUGCCAGCUCAAAAGAGCAGGAGCCAUUUUGUCUAAGGCAAGGGCUAACUACAAAAACCGAAGACAUGUUUAACUGUUACUCAUUGUAUACAACUAAUAAGGCCUAAAUACACAAAAGUGUUAGGGACCGCCUGUUGAUAGUGUUUAUGCACAAACUGCAUGGUUGUCCAAUGGCUUGAUAUUUUAAGUUCGUGCGGGUGUGCCGUGUUUGCCCUCUGCCUGAAGCGAGAAUCAUAUUUUCAGGAAGCUGGAGUUAGCAGUUGUGAGCCACUUGUGUGUUCUGAUAUACAAACUUCUUUAAAGGCAUCAAGUAUUCUUGACAGAACAAUUUCUCAAGCCACCCUGCUAAAUGAUCUUUUGUCACUCCUCAUACAAAGGCCUAAAAUAAAUGUAAAUUUAAUAUUUGUGGCCCACUUUAAUCCAUAAAACUGUUAAAUGACUUUAAAAACUGAGUUGUUUACAUUCUUCAUCCCAGACUCCCGGUACUGUUUUUGUUAUGUUGGAGCGUUGAACUCAAACCCUAACAUUUUCAUAAUAAAUAAAUAAAUAAAUAAAUCCUUAAUUUUUAA